RNAcentral lists this non-coding RNA (31 nucleotides) under Homo sapiens (human). The record is from RNAcentral. Lineage: Eukaryota; Metazoa; Chordata; Mammalia; Primates; Hominidae.
UGCUGGUGAGCUCAGCACAAGCUGCUGCUGU